AUCAAUGUUAGUAGUUACAGAGUCAGUUCAGCGUCUGCCAGAGGUGAGUAGAACUAAACUUAAUCUUUUACUUUAAGAAAGCAAAUGCCUAAAGCAUGUUCAUGCAUCAUGUUUAUAUGUAAUAGGUUGAUUGCACUAGUUACACGAAUAUGACACAUUGCAUUAUUUACUGUUGAUGUGGAUGGACCAAGGCGACCCCAAUAGCCC
This 207-nucleotide long non-coding RNA is filed under the name Manihot esculenta (cassava). Its description in RNAcentral is "long non-coding RNA (MESC_LNC001440)". The record is from RNAcentral. Lineage: Eukaryota; Viridiplantae; Streptophyta; Magnoliopsida; Malpighiales; Euphorbiaceae.